Molecule: ribosomal RNA, 684 nt
Filed under: Acrobeloides sp. SK-101
Lineage: Eukaryota; Metazoa; Nematoda; Chromadorea; Rhabditida; Cephalobidae
Description: partial 28S ribosomal RNA
Rfam family: Eukaryotic large subunit ribosomal RNA (bases 110-684)
Source: RNAcentral
GGGCGCGAUAUCACUCUCUAAAUACCAGGCCGAAGAAUGAAACGGUGGGGCAAUGAAGCCUUCCACAUGUCUCUUAACAAUCCUUCGGUCCGGCCUUCUUAAGCGAGGCUCGUCUCUCUUUAGAAAUGAUUAGACAGAUGAUAUCCUUAACGUUCGCAUGUUUACCGUGUGAUUUGGCGAUCGUCUCUGCACCUCUACAAUAUCUGCGCAUGUGAUACAUGUGUUGUUUCCGUUAAAGAAUAUGGCAAAAAGAGCCUGUCUUCCCGUAUCCAAUGCGACCCGACGUGUUCAUUCCGCCCAUCUGACAUCGUGUAGCUCGUGCGCUGUGUUUGGGAAACGCAGCCCAAAAUUUGGUGGUAAAACUUCAUCUAAAGGCUAAAUACGGCCACGAAAACCGAUAGCAAACAAGUACCGUUGAGGGAAAAGUUGAAAAGUACCUUUGAAGAGAGAGUUCAAGAGGACGUGAAACCGGUAGGAUGGAAACGGAUAGAGCCAACGAACAAGCCCGUUAUUCAGCUUAGUCGGCCUGCGCCCCCUGUUGUGCCCGUCGGGCUUAGGGCAUUUUGCCGGUGAAUGGUGUGACUGAAGCGUGGUGGUGGUGUCCCUGGCGAAACUGCCGCGGGAAGAAGGCCCUCCCUUCUUUCACGGGAACUUUGGAAAACCCUUAACCCCGGUUUGGGGAAG